This 639-nucleotide ribosomal RNA is filed under the name uncultured bacterium. RNAcentral's name for it is "bacterial SSU rRNA". It matches the Rfam family "Bacterial small subunit ribosomal RNA", at positions 68 to 692 of the family's 1533-position model. The record is from RNAcentral.
GGUAGAGCUUUAUCGUAAGAUAGAGUUUGAGAGUGGCGAACGGGUGAGUAACACGUAGGAAUCUACCCUUAAGACGGGGACAACCCAGGGAAACUUGGGCUAAUACCGGAUGAGAGUGCGAGAGAUUGCAUUUAAAAGGAUGGCGAAAGUUGUCGCUUAGGGAUGAGCCUGCGGUCUAUUAGUUAGUUGGUGAGGUAAGAGCUCACCAAGGCGAUGAUAGAUAGGCGGCCUUAACGGGUGGUCGCCCACACUGGGAUUGAGAUACGGCCCAGACUCCUACGGGAGGCAGCAGUCGAGAAUAGUCUACAAUGGCCGGAAGGCUGAUAGUGCGACGCCGCGUGAACGAGGGAGCCCUUCGGGGUGUAAAGUUCUUUUCUAUACGAGCAGUGCUAUAUAUAUGGAUAGUAUAUAUAGAGGGAUAGUAGUAUAGGAAUAAGCAACGGCUAACUCCGUGCCAGCAGCCGCGGUAACACGGGGGUUGCGAGCGUUGUCCGGAAUUACUAGGCGUAAAGGGCAGGUAGGCGGAUCUACGAGUUUUUUGUUAAAGGCUACGGCUCAACUGUAGUAGAGCAGGAGAUACUGUAGGUCUGGAAUGCGGUAGGGGAAGACAGAAUUCCUGGUGUAGCGGUGGAAUGCGCA